RNAcentral lists this transfer RNA (75 nucleotides) under Escherichia coli. RNAcentral's name for it is "tRNALys from Escherichia coli (PDB 5E7K, chain 1K)". It matches the Rfam family "tRNA". Rfam says of the family: Transfer RNA (tRNA) molecules are approximately 80 nucleotides in length. Their secondary structure includes four short double-helical elements and three loops (D, anti-codon, and T loops). RNAcentral also lists the same sequence under 2 other names. The record is from RNAcentral. Lineage: Bacteria; Pseudomonadati; Pseudomonadota; Gammaproteobacteria; Enterobacterales; Enterobacteriaceae.
GGGUCGUUAGCUCAGUUGGUAGAGCAGUUGACUUUUAAUCAAUUGUCGCAGGUUCGAAUCCUGCACGACCCACCA